GGGGAUGCAAGGCAUAGACAAAAGCGUACAUCUCGCGUGUGCAAGGUGGAGCUCCAACAACUCCUUAAACGGUUGGAAACCUAACUGCAAAAACAGUUGCUAAAGCAGUCGCUUCUCCAUUUUUUGGAGUAAACGAUUUUGCUUUCGCUCGCGCUUCGGCGUAAGCGACAUUCGCCGUCCAACGCCUCAGCGGACGGACCGAGUGUUGUAUCAGGGGCUAGAAAUCUUGAGCGUCUCGGCAGGAUUUUGAAAAUAAGAGAAUCGUGUAUAAAGUAUUUUGUUCGUUUAUAGCUUCAUACAUUAAAAAAACAAAACGGCACUAAACCUUGUAGAUUCACGCGCGACGAACUUUUGCACCCGAGUUCAAUUCUCGGCAUCUCCAUUC
Molecule: transfer-messenger RNA, 385 nt
Filed under: Candidatus Taylorbacteria bacterium RIFCSPHIGHO2_02_FULL_47_18
Lineage: Bacteria; Candidatus Tayloriibacteriota
Also listed under: 4 other names
Rfam family: transfer-messenger RNA
About the family: Bacterial tmRNA, also known as 10Sa RNA or SsrA, is named for its dual tRNA and mRNA-like properties.
Source: RNAcentral